RNAcentral lists this unclassified non-coding RNA (231 nucleotides) under plant metagenome. RNAcentral describes it as "partial contains small subunit ribosomal RNA, internal transcribed spacer 1, and 5.8S ribosomal RNA". The record is from RNAcentral.
UCUCCGUUGGUGAACCAGCGGAGGGAUCAUUACAGGGUUGCAAAACUCCCAAACCAUUGUGAACGUUACCUAUCCCGUUGCUUCGGCGGGCGGCCCGGGCCCCGCGCCCGGCGCCCCCCGGCCCCCCGUGGGCGCCCGCCGGAGGUAAACCAAACCCUUGAAUUGCAUGGCCUCUCUGAGUCUUCUGUACUGAAUAAGUCAAAACUUUCAACAACGGAUCUCUUGGUUCUA